This is a long non-coding RNA of Neopsephotus bourkii (Bourke's parrot), 1513 nucleotides long. RefSeq lists it as uncharacterized. Lineage: Eukaryota; Metazoa; Chordata; Aves; Psittaciformes; Psittacidae. The record is from RefSeq and is a predicted model, not a curated record. The transcript is spliced from 3 exons.
GCAGAGAGAGGGAGACAAGCGGAGGCUGGGGGCUGGUGGACUCAUCGAGCUGCAAAGCACAAUCAGGCCAAUGCUAAACUCUUCUGGCUGUCCAAAAGAUGCCGUGGUCCAGAUAACCUGCUCUGGAUCUGCAGGCUGUGCUUUGCAGAAGAUUCAUUCUUAAUAGAGAAAAGCACAGCCAAUGAGGCUACGUUCUCCUGUUUUUACACUUACUAAAGUAAAAGAAAAAAUAAGAGAGAAAAACAACCCUACAGACAGACAUGAAGAACAGAAGCAUGUCAGUGAGCGUCUGAAGAUACCACAGUAAGAAGAACUUGACCUAAGGUUCUAAAGAGUGUCUUAUCAGCUGGGGAGGACUGAUAGAGCAGGAUUGAUGGCACUGAAGUGCUUCCUGGUAAUGACCUUUCUUCAGCCAUUUGCUUUUCUUUCACAAAGUCUUUGGUAGCCUAACAACAAUGGGAACUAUUGUUUAGAUAACUGUGAUUUUGCUUCUUCCUUUUAUCAAAGGUUUUUAAAAACUGAAAACAGAGUUAAUGGCAGAUCUUGGAGUGUUCCAUAAAUAACACAUACAGACCAGGUACAAGAAAGCAGUGAUUCUGGAAGAUUUAUAGAAUUGAAUCACUUCUGUAUGCUGUUGAUUUCCUGACGCUGCUCCUAUGAAUCUGUCCCUUAGUGUUUAUGAAGUAUUUUCAGAAAGUAAGUUUGUACACCAAUGUUAAUUGUAAUUAUUUUAAUUAUCCUUUUUGAGGAUUCUCUUGCUUUGUCUUCACAUGGCAUAUGCAUGUAAAAGUGUGAAAUUGAGACACAUGCAAGGAAUUUUGGAAAAUGUUGUAUGUAAUGUAAGAUUUUUUACUAGGAUCUGUGCAUCAACCAGGGCCAUGGUCAUCAUGUAGUGGAGCAAGUAUCAGCAUCAGCUUCAUCUUAAAAUUCUUAAUUUUCUCUGCUUUUCUUACUUUAAUAUAGAUAUUCUUUCCUUUUUUAUUUUUAUGAUACUAAUAAAAAAGCAGGAAAAAAAAAAUUCAUUGGAAAUAUUUGAAAUAUUCUCCACUGGAAAAAUAAUAUCCUGCAAUAGAUGGAUGACCAUGUAAACACACCUCUGCCUAGCACAACAAAACCAGCCUGGAUUCAUGGCUAUGACUUCAGAUGGCAUAUGGGAGAGGCAGAAGGACUUUUGCAGGGGAUUAAGACACCAGGUUUGAACCUCGAGGGAUGCUGGCUCCAGUUCAGGCUCUAGCUGGGAGGCCAAAUAAGUAUGGUGGUCUCAUUAGUCCUCAUUACAAAAAUUGACCACAUGAUUUGGUACCAUCGGCAGCUCUUUGCUAGAUAAAUCCUGGACUAGAAUUAACAAGGUUUACUGCAAGCUAGACCUGAGGUAUGUUGACAGGGAGAAGUUUGCAGAAAGCCUGGUUGUACCGAAGCCAGUGUUAACAGUCUUUUUACUUUUAUUUGCUCUGAAUUCAUUCAUAUAUUUGCAAUCAAAAUGGUUUAGAAGUCUUAAAAAAAAAAAAUGAAG